Molecule: ribosomal RNA, 1372 nt
Filed under: uncultured bacterium
Lineage: Bacteria
Description: bacterial SSU rRNA
Rfam family: Bacterial small subunit ribosomal RNA
Source: RNAcentral
GAUGAACGCUGGCGGCGUGCCUAAUACAUGCAAGUCGAGCGAACGGACGAGAAGCUUGCUUCUCUGAUGUUAGCGGCGGACGGGUGAGUAACACGUGGAUAACCUACCUAUAAGACUGGGAUAACUUCGGGAAACCGGAGCUAAUACCGGAUAAUAUUUUGAACCGCAUGGUUCAAAAGUGAAAGACGGUCUUGCUGUCACUUAUAGAUGGAUCCGCGCUGCAUUAGCUAGUUGGUAAGGUAACGGCUUACCAAGGCAACGAUGCAUAGCCGACCUGAGAGGGUGAUCAGCCACACUGGAACUGAGACACGGUCCAGACUCCUACGGGAGGCAGCAGUAGGGAAUCUUCCGCAAUGGGCGAAAGCCUGACGGAGCAACGCCGCGUGAGUGAUGAAGGUCUUCGGAUCGUAAAACUCUGUUAUUAGGGAAGAACAUAUGUGUAAGUAACUGUGCACAUCUUGACGGUACCUAAUCAGAAAGCCACGGCUAACUACGUGCCAGCAGCCGCGGUAAUACGUAGGUGGCAAGCGUUAUCCGGAAUUAUUGGGCGUAAAGCGCGCGUAGGCGGUUUUUUAAGUCUGAUGUGAAAGCCCACGGCUCAACCGUGGAGGGUCAUUGGAAACUGGAAAACUUGAGUGCAGAAGAGGAAAGUGGAAUUCCAUGUGUAGCGGUGAAAUGCGCAGAGAUAUGGAGGAACACCAGUGGCGAAGGCGACUUUCUGGUCUGUAACUGACGCUGAUGUGCGAAAGCGUGGGGAUCAAACAGGAUUAGAUACCCUGGUAGUCCACGCCGUAAACGAUGAGUGCUAAGUGUUAGGGGGUUUCCGCCCCUUAGUGCUGCAGCUAACGCAUUAAGCACUCCGCCUGGGGAGUACGACCGCAAGGUUGAAACUCAAAGGAAUUGACGGGGACCCGCACAAGCGGUGGAGCAUGUGGUUUAAUUCGAAGCAACGCGAAGAACCUUACCAAAUCUUGACAUCCUUUGACAACUCUAGAGAUAGAGCUUUCCCCUUCGGGGGACAAAGUGACAGGUGGUGCAUGGUUGUCGUCAGCUCGUGUCGUGAGAUGUUGGGUUAAGUCCCGCAACGAGCGCAACCCUUAAGCUUAGUUGCCAUCAUUAAGUUGGGCACUCUAAGUUGACUGCCGGUGACAAACCGGAGGGAGGUGGGGAUGACGUCAAAUCAUCAUGCCCCUUAUGAUUUGGGCUACACACGUGCUACAAUGGACAAUACAAAGGGCAGCGAAACCGUGAGGUCAAGCAAAUCCCAUAAAGUUGUUCUCAGUUCGGAUUGUAGUCUGCAACUCGACUACAUGAAGCUGGAAUCGCUAGUAAUCGUAGAUCAGCAUGCUACGGUGAAUACGUUCCCGGGUCU